RNAcentral lists this ribosomal RNA (851 nucleotides) under uncultured bacterium. Its description in RNAcentral is "bacterial SSU rRNA". It matches the Rfam family "Bacterial small subunit ribosomal RNA", at positions 8 to 858 of the family's 1533-position model. The record is from RNAcentral.
AGAGUUUGAUCCUGGCUCAGGAUGAACGCUAGCGCNAGGCUUAACACAUGCAAGUCGAGGGGCAGCAUGUCCAGCAAUGGAUGAUGGCGACCGGCGGAAGGGUGCGUAACGCGUGAGCAACAUGCCCUAUACAGGGAGAUACACCAGGGAAACUUGGUCUAAUAUCCCAUAGCAUUCAUUGAAGGCAUCUUUAAUGAAUUAAAGCUUCGGUGGUAUAGGAUUGGCUCGCGUGACAUUAGCCAGAUGGUGAGGUAACGGCUCACCAUAGCAAUGAUGUCUAGGGGUUUUGAGAGGAAGGCCCCCCACACUGGGACUGAGACACGGCCCAGACUCCUACGGGAGGCAGCAGUGAGGAAUAUUGGACAAUGGAUGGAAAUCUGAUCCAGCCAUGCCGCGUGCAGGAAGACGGCCUUAUGGGUUGUAAACUGCUUUUAUACGGGAGCAAUAAGGGUUACGAGUAAUCCGAUGAGAGUACUGUAUGAAUAAGGAUCGGCUAACUCCGUGCCAGCAGCCGCGGUAAUACGGAGGAUCCGAGCGUUAUCCGGAAUUAUUGGGUUUAAAGGGUGCGUAGGCGGCCAUUUAAGUCAGCGGUGAAAUUUUGCAGCUUAACUGUAACAGUGCCGUUGAUACUGUUUGGCUAGGAUUUGGUUGUAGUGUGCGGAAUGUGUGGUGUAGCGGUGAAAUGCUUAGAUAUCACACAGAACACCGAUUGCGAAGGCAGCACACUAAGUCAUUAUUGACGCUGAGGCACGAAAGUGUGGGGAUCAAACAGGAUUAGAUACCCUGGUAGUCCACACUGUAAACGAUGAUAACUCGCUGUCGGCGAUACACAGUCGGUGCCAAGCGAAAGC